Molecule: ribosomal RNA, 253 nt
Filed under: uncultured bacterium
Lineage: Bacteria
Description: partial 16S ribosomal RNA
Rfam family: Bacterial small subunit ribosomal RNA
Source: RNAcentral
UACGGAGGGAGCAAGCGUUAUCCGGAAUCACUGGGUUUAAAGGGUGCGUAGGCUGGUGCAUAAGUCAGGGGUGAAAGUUUGUCGCUUAACGAUAGAAUUGCCUUUGAUACUGUGCGGCUUGAAAUUAGGUGAGGUUGGCGGAAUGUGACAUGUAGCGGUGAAAUGCGUAGAUAUGUCAUAGAACACCUAUUGCGAAGGCAGCUUGCUAACCUAAAUUUGACGCUGAGGCUCGAAAGCGUGGGUAGCAAACAGG